This 86-nucleotide transfer RNA is filed under the name Desulfocapsa sp. RNAcentral's name for it is "tRNA-Leu". It matches the Rfam family "tRNA". From Rfam's summary of the family: Transfer RNA (tRNA) molecules are approximately 80 nucleotides in length. Their secondary structure includes four short double-helical elements and three loops (D, anti-codon, and T loops). The record is from RNAcentral. Lineage: Bacteria; Pseudomonadati; Thermodesulfobacteriota; Desulfobulbia; Desulfobulbales; Desulfocapsaceae.
GCCCGGAUGGCGGAACUGGUAGACGCAAGGGACUUAAAAUCCCUCGCCCCUAGGGUGUGCGAGUUCGAUUCUCGCUCCGGGCACCA